Molecule: ribosomal RNA, 558 nt
Filed under: uncultured fungus
Lineage: Eukaryota; Fungi
Description: eukaryotic LSU rRNA
Rfam family: 5.8S ribosomal RNA (bases 117-270)
Source: RNAcentral
GGGUGCGUCGCAGCCCCGGAACCAGGCGCCCGCCGGAGGAACCAACCAAACUCUUUCUGUAGUCCCCUCGCGGACGUAUUUCUUACAGCUCUGAGCAAAAAUUCAAAAUGAAUCAAAACUUUCAACAACGGAUCUCUUGGUUCUGGCAUCGAUGAAGAACGCAGCGAAAUGCGAUAAGUAAUGUGAAUUGCAGAAUUCAGUGAAUCAUCGAAUCUUUGAACGCACAUUGCAUGCUCGCUGAUGAUGCUCGUAGAUGCUCUCCGAGCGUCAUUUCAACCCUCGAACCCCUCCGGGGGAUCGGCGUUGGGGAUCGGGACCCCUCACACGGGUGCCGGCCCCGAAAUACAGUGGCGGUCUCGCCGCAUGCUCGUAGUAGUCGCUCGUGAUGCAACUCGCACCGGGAGCGCGGCGCGUCCACGUCCGUAAAACACCCAUGCUCGCUGAUAGUCGCUGUGGGAUCAGGUAGGAAUACCCGCUGAACUUAUAGGUCAUGCGUCCGUGAUAGUCGCUGAUAGUCGUCGUAAGAGUCUUCGAUAGGUGCCGGCGAUAGUGCUCGCG